GUCGUGCGCAGGCUGCGGGGCGUGUGCAGGCGAUAUUCCACGUGCGCAGGCGGCGGGGGCGUGUGCAGGUGGUGUCUCCCCCCACACACAUGGGCGGAGCUUUUGCGCUCGCCCCCCAACUCCUUCCCACGCUAUAAAGGCAGCGCUCCACGCGCUUCUCUCCAUCACACCUCCUCCUAGCACUUCAAUUCCCGCUUGUCAUCGGUCUUCAGCUGCCGCCUCCACUCGCCAUGGACCCUAACUGCUCCUGUGCCACAGAUGGCUCCUGCUCCUGCUCCGGGUCUUGCAAAUGCAAAGAGUGCAAAUGCACGUCCUGCAAGAAAAGCUGCUGCUCCUGUUGCCCGGUGGGCUGUUCGAAGUGCUCCCAGGGAUGCAUCUGCAAAGAGGCUUCGGACAAGUGCAGCUGCUGUGCCUGAAGUGGGACCCCCUCAGCCGCGUGUAAAUAGAGCAAUGUGUAGAAACGUCAUUUUUUUUACAACCCUGGCCUAUGCUCCACACCUUUCUAUGAAAGCAUGUGACUGAUAAUAAAAAGCGUUGACUUAA
Molecule: long non-coding RNA, 543 nt
Organism: Peromyscus eremicus (cactus mouse)
Lineage: Eukaryota; Metazoa; Chordata; Mammalia; Rodentia; Cricetidae
Exons: 3
Source: RefSeq, a predicted model, not a curated record